GGGGGGACCAUCCUCCAAGGCUAAAUACUCCUGACUGACCGAUAGUGAACCAGUACCGUGAGGGAAAGGCGAAAAGAACCCCGGCGAGGGGAGUGAAAAAGAACCUGAAACCGUGUACGUACAAGCAGUGGGAGCACAGAGCAAUCUGUGUGACUGCGUACCUUUUGUAUAAUGGGUCAGCGACUUAUAUUCUGUAGCAAGGUUAACCGAAUAGGGGAGCCGAAGGGAAACCGAGUCUUAACUGGGCGUUAAGUUGCAGGGUAUAGACCCGAAACCCGGUGAUCUAGCCAUGGGCAGGUUGAAGGUUGGGUAACACUAACUGGAGGACCGAACCGACUAAUGUUGAAAAAUUAGCGGAUGACUUGUGGCUGGGGGUGAAAGGCCAAUCAAACCGGGAGAUAGCUGGUUCUCCCCGAAAGCUAUUUAGGUAGCGCCUCGUGAAUUCAUCUCCGGGGGUAGAGCACUGUUUCGGCAAGGGGGUCAUCCCGACUUACCAACCCGAUGCAAACUGCGAAUACCGGAGAAUGUUAUCACGGGAGACACACGGCGGGUGCUAACGUCCGUCGUGAAGAGGGAAACAACCCAGACCGCCAGCUAAGGUCCCAAAGUCAUGGUUAAGUGGGAAACGAUGUGGGAAGGCCCAGACAGCCAGGAUGUUGGCUUAGAAGCAGCCAUCAUUUAAAGAAAGCGUAAUAGCUCACUGGUCGAGUCGGCCUGCGCGGAAGAUGUAACGGGGCUAAACCAUG
RNAcentral lists this ribosomal RNA (746 nucleotides) under Escherichia coli. Its description in RNAcentral is "partial 23S ribosomal RNA". It matches the Rfam family "Bacterial large subunit ribosomal RNA", at positions 446 to 1191 of the family's 2925-position model. Lineage: Bacteria; Pseudomonadati; Pseudomonadota; Gammaproteobacteria; Enterobacterales; Enterobacteriaceae. The record is from RNAcentral.